AUAAUGGGUCAGCGACUUAUAUUCUGUAGCAAGGUUAACCGAAUAGGGGAGCCGAAGGGAAACCGAGUCUUAACUGGGCGUUAAGUUGCAGGGUAUAGACCCGAAACCCGGUGAUCUAGCCAUGGGCAGGUUGAAGGUUGGGUAACACUAACUGGAGGACCGAACCGACUAAUGUUGAAAAAUUAGCGGAUGACUUGUGGCUGGGGGUGAAAGGCCAAUCAAACCGGGAGAUAGCUGGUUCUCCCCGAAAGCUAUUUAGG
This 260-nucleotide ribosomal RNA is filed under the name Escherichia coli. Its description in RNAcentral is "partial 23S ribosomal RNA". It matches the Rfam family "Bacterial large subunit ribosomal RNA", at positions 612 to 874 of the family's 2925-position model. Lineage: Bacteria; Pseudomonadati; Pseudomonadota; Gammaproteobacteria; Enterobacterales; Enterobacteriaceae. The record is from RNAcentral.